This 377-nucleotide ribosomal RNA is filed under the name uncultured eukaryote. Its description in RNAcentral is "partial 18S ribosomal RNA". It matches the Rfam family "Eukaryotic small subunit ribosomal RNA", at positions 592 to 976 of the family's 1831-position model. The record is from RNAcentral.
CAAUAGCGUAUAUUAAAGUUGUUGCAGUUAAAAAGCUCGUAGUUGGAUUUCGGAGCCGACCGGGCGGUCUGUCGAGAGACACGCACUGCUCGGUGGCUCUUCCUCUCGGAGGCCCUGGCUGCCCUUAACUGGAGCGGGCAGGGGAUUCGGGACGUUUACUUUGAAAAAAUUAGAGUGUUCAAAGCAGGCCGGUGCUUGGAUACAUUAGCAUGGAAUAAUGGAAUAGGGCUUGGGUCCUAUUUUGUUGGUUUUCGGGACCGAGGUCAUGGUUAAGAGGGACAGUUGGGGGCAUUCGUAUUCAAUUGUCAGAGGUGAAAUUCUUGGAUUUAUGGAAGACGAACAACUGCGAAAGCAUUUGCCAAGGAUGUUUUCAUUGA